RNAcentral lists this ribosomal RNA (253 nucleotides) under uncultured bacterium. Its description in RNAcentral is "partial 16S ribosomal RNA". It matches the Rfam family "Bacterial small subunit ribosomal RNA", at positions 524 to 776 of the family's 1533-position model. The record is from RNAcentral.
UACAGAGGGGGCAAGCGUUGCUCGGAAUCACUGGGCGUAAAGGGUGCGUAGGCGGGUCUUUAAGUCAGGGGUGAAAUCCUGGAGCUCAACUCCAGAACUGCCUUUGAUACUGAGGAUCUUGAGUUCGGGAGAGGUGAGUGGAACUGCGAGUGUAGAGGUGAAAUUCGUAGAUAUUCGCAAGAACACCAGUGGCGAAGGCGGCUCACUGGUCCGGUACUGACGCUGAGGUGCGAAAGCGUGGGGAGCAAACAGG